This is a long non-coding RNA of Ornithodoros turicata, 1310 nucleotides long. RefSeq lists it as uncharacterized. NCBI's taxonomy places the organism in Eukaryota, Metazoa, Arthropoda, Arachnida, Ixodida, Argasidae. The record is from RefSeq and is a predicted model, not a curated record. The transcript has 10 exons.
CACAAGGCAGAUCCGGCGAGCGCAGCCCAGAACGAUGCGUGAAACGCGGCAUACUAGCGUUCUAUAUGCACUAUUAACCUGCUCGUUACAAGACGAGAAAGGAAAAUAUUUGCUUUGAGACUCAGUCCCGUAACUAUAGGAGCAAUGGCAAACUGCACUGCAGUACACAUCAAAGAACAGGAGGGCUCUUCGACGCCUUCGGAUUGCAGCUUGUCAAGCGAGUCGUCCAGUAGGAGCUCGAAGAACAGAACAGAGCCUGACAGCAUCUUUUGACGAGAGACGGAACCCUAGUUCACAGACGUGGACUAAUGCCCAGAGGAGUGUUCAGAGGGAGGAUGACCUGCUACGUGUGGCGUGUUGGCUCGGCAUCUUUUGACGAGAGACGGAACCCUAGUUCACAGACGUGGACUAAUGCCCAGAGGAGUGUUCAGAGGGAGGAUGACCUGCUACGUGUGGCGUGUUGGCUCGGCAUCUUUUGACGAGAGACGGAACCCUAGUUCACAGACGUGGACUAAUGCCCAGAGGAGUGUUCAGAGGGAGGAUGACCUGCUACGUGUGGCGUGUUGGCUCGGCAUCUUUUGACGAGAGACGGAACCCUAGUUCACAGACGUGGACUAAUGCCCAGAGGAGUGUUCAGAGGGAGGAUGACCUGCUACGUGUGGCGUGUUGGCUCGGCAUCUUUUGACGAGAGACGGAACCCUAGUUCACAGACGUGGACUAAUGCCCAGAGGAGUGUUCAGAGGGAGGAUGACCUGCUACGUGUGGCGUGUUGGCUCGGCAUCUUUUGACGAGAGACGGAACCCUAGUUCACAGACGUGGACUAAUGCCCAGAGGAGUGUUCAGAGGGAGGAUGACCUGCUACGUGUGGCGUGUUGGCUCGGCAUCUUUUGACGAGAGACGGAACCCUAGUUCACAGACGUGGACUAAUGCCCAGAGGAGUGUUCAGAGGGAGGAUGACCUGCUACGUGUGGCGUGUUGGCUCGGCAAACAAAAACCGGUACGGCACUGCCAACGAAGGAUCCUAUUCUGCCCUAAGUGUUCUCAAGCCAGAUCAAGAAAUUACUAUAAUGCGAGAAGAAAUGGCCUUGUAGCGAACGCUCAAACCCGCUCGCGACGACGUCGCCUUAUGAGAGGCAUUUUUUUCCUCCUCUCCUAUUUCCCGAACCGCGCAGCGCAGAGAAUUCGGAAAGCGUUUAUUUCUCAUAACUCACCGAUGGCUUCAACAUAUAUUUUUUUCCCGUUCAUUCGAGACAUCAAGUGUACCGGAUUGUUCGAUUUGAGAUGGAACUAGCCCAAAGCAACCUGGUCCA